RNAcentral lists this ribosomal RNA (292 nucleotides) under uncultured bacterium. RNAcentral describes it as "partial 16S ribosomal RNA". It matches the Rfam family "Bacterial small subunit ribosomal RNA", at positions 505 to 796 of the family's 1533-position model. The record is from RNAcentral.
GUGUCAGCAGCCGCGGUAAGACAGAGGAGCCAAGCGUUGUCCGGAUUGACUGGGCGUAAAGCGCACGCAGGCGGUCGCGCGCGUGGAGUGUGAAACCCCGCCGCUUAACGGCGGGCCGCCACUUCAUACGGCGCGACUGGAGCCGUGCAGAGGUCCGUGGAAUUGCCGGUGUAGUGGUGAAAUGCGUAGAGAUCGGCAGGAACACCCAGGGGGAAACCAGCGGACUGGGCACGUGCUGACGCUCAGGUGCGAAAGCGUGGGGAGCGAACCGGAUUAGAAACCCGAGUAGUCC